RNAcentral lists this ribosomal RNA (464 nucleotides) under uncultured Desulfuromonadaceae bacterium. RNAcentral's name for it is "partial 16S ribosomal RNA". It matches the Rfam family "Bacterial small subunit ribosomal RNA", at positions 338 to 794 of the family's 1533-position model. Lineage: Bacteria; Pseudomonadati; Thermodesulfobacteriota; Desulfuromonadia; Desulfuromonadales; Desulfuromonadaceae. The record is from RNAcentral.
CCUACGGGAGGCAGCAGUGGGGAAUUUUGCGCAAUGGGGGCAACCCUGACGCAGCAACGCCGCGUGAGUGGUGAAGGCCUUCGGGUCGUAAAGCUCUGUCAGAGGGGAAGAAAUGCAGGUGGUGAACAACCAUUCUGUUUGACGGUACCCUCAAAGGAAGCACCGGCUAACUCCGUGCCAGCAGCCGCGGUAAUACGGAGGGUGCGAGCGUUGUUCGGAAUUAUUGGGCGUAAAGCGCGUGUAGGCGGUUUGUUAAGUCUGAGGUGAAAGCCCCGGGCUCAACCGGGGAAGUGCAUUGGAUACUGGCAGACUUGAGUACGGGAGAGGAGAGUGAAAUUCCCGGUGUAGAGGUGAAAUUCGUAGAUAUCGGGAGGAACACCGGUGGCGAAGGCGACUCUCUGGCCCGAUACUGACGCUGAGACGCGAAAGCGUGGGGAGCAAACAGGAUUAGAUACCCCUGUAGU